AGAGUUUGAUCCUGGCUCAGAAUGAACGCUGGCGGCGUGCUUAACACAUGCAAGUCGAACGGUAACAGGAGAAGCUUGCUUCUUGCUGACGAGUGGCGCACGGGUGAGUAAUGCAUAGGUAACGCGCCCCUUAGUCUGGGAUAGCCACUGGAAACGGUGAAUAAUACCGGAUACUCCUUCUCACUUAAUGUGAGUCGGGAAAGUUUUUCGCUAAGGGAUCGGCCUAUGUCCUAUCAGGUAGUUGGUGAGGUAAAAGCUCACCAGGCCUAUGACGGGUAGCGGGUCUGAGAGGAUGAUCCGCCACACUGGUACUGAGACACGGACCAGACUCCUACGGGAGGCAGCAGUGGGGAAUAUUGCACAAUGGACGAAAGUCUGAUGCAGCAACGCCGCGUGGAGGAUGACACAUUUCGGUGCGUAAACUCCUUUUAUAUGAGAAGAUAAUGACGGUAUCAUAUGAAUAAGCACCUGCUAACUCCGUGCCAGCAGCCGCGGUAAUACGGAGGGUGCAAGCGUUAUUCGGAAUCACUGGGCGUAAAGGGUGCGUAGGCGGUUUGGAAAGUCAGGUGUGAAAUCCUACAGCUUAACUGUAGAACUGCACUUGAAACUUCCAGACUAGAAUACUGAAGGGGCAGAUGGAAUUAGUGGUGUAGGGGUAAAAUCCGUAGAUAUCACUAGGAAUACCGAAAGCGAAAGCGAUCUGCUGGGAAGUUAUUGACGCUGAGGCACGAAAGCGUGGGGAGCAAGCGGGAUUAGAUACCCCGGUAGUCCACGCCCUAAACGAUGAAUGCUAGUCGUCGGAAAGCUCGUCUUUUCGGUGAUGCAGUUAACACAUUAAGCAUUCCGCCUGGGGAGUACGGUCGCAAGAUUAAAACUCAAAGGAAUAGACGGGGACCCGCACAAGUGGUGGAGCAUGUGGUUUAAUUCGAAAAUACGCGAAGAACCUUACCUAGCCUUGACAUUGAUAGAAUCUGAUAGAGAUAUCGGAGUGCCUGCUUGCAGGAACUUGAAAACAGGUGCUGCACGGCUGUCGUCAGCUCGUGUCGUGAGAUGUUGGGGUUAAGUCCCGCAACGAGCGCAACCCUCGUCGUUAGUUGCUAACAGUUCGGCUGAGCACUCUAGCGAGACUGCCUUCGCAAGGAGGAGGAAGGUGAGGACGACGUCAAGUCACCAUGGCCCUUAUGGCUAGGGCUACACACGUGCUACAAUGGGGCGUAUAGAGAGUUGCGAUACCGCGAGGUGGAGCCAAUCUCUUAAAGCGUCUCUCAGUUCGGAUUGUUCUCUGCAACUCGAGAACAUGAAGCUGGAAUCACUAGUAAUCGUAGAUCAGCAAUGCUACGGUGAAUACGUUCCCCGGUCUUGUACUCACCGCCCGUCACACCAUGGGAGUUGAUUUCACCCGAAAUCGGGAAGCGAACCUUCGGGGCGCUACCGCUUACGGUGGAAUUAGCGACUGGGGUGAAGUCGUAACAAGGUA
This 1477-nucleotide ribosomal RNA is filed under the name metagenome. Its description in RNAcentral is "bacterial SSU rRNA". It matches the Rfam family "Bacterial small subunit ribosomal RNA". The record is from RNAcentral.